GCAAGUCGAACGAGAAAGCUCUUCGGAGUGAGUAGAGUGGCGCACGGGUGAGUAACACGUGGGUGACCUACCCUUUAGUGGGGAACAACAGAGAGAAAUUUCUGCUAAUACCGCAUAAGUUGUACAAUUUUGGAAGUAGUACAAGAAAGUGGGCUUCGGCUCACGCUGAAGGAUGGGCCCGCGGGACAUUAGCUUGAUGGUGGGGUAAAGGCCUACCAUGGCUACGAUGUCUAGCUGGUCUGAGAGGAUGAUC
This 253-nucleotide ribosomal RNA is filed under the name uncultured bacterium. RNAcentral's name for it is "partial 16S ribosomal RNA". It matches the Rfam family "Bacterial small subunit ribosomal RNA", at positions 57 to 305 of the family's 1533-position model. The record is from RNAcentral.